Molecule: ribosomal RNA, 1286 nt
Filed under: metagenome
Description: bacterial LSU rRNA
Rfam family: Bacterial large subunit ribosomal RNA
Source: RNAcentral
GUUAAGGUACCCGUACCGCAAACCGACACAGGUAGAUGAGGAGAGGAUCCUAAGACGAGCGAGAGAAGUACUGUUAAGGAACUCGGCAAACUAACCCCGUAACUUAGGGAGAAGGGGUACCUAUGUAAAAGUGGGUCGCAGAGAAGAGUCCCAAGCAACUGUUUAACAAAAACACAGGUUUCCGCUAAAUCGAAAGAUGAAGUAUAGGAGCUGACGCCUGCCCAGUGCUGGAAGGUUAAGGGGAAAUGUUAGAGUAAUCGAAGCAUAGAACUAAAGCCCCAGUGAACGGCGGCCGUAACUAUAACGGUCCUAAGGUAGCGAAAUUCCUUGUCAGGUAAGUUCUGACCCGCACGAAAGGCGUAAUGAUUUGGGAGCUGUCUCGACAGUAUACUCGGCGAAAUUGUAGUACUAGUGAAGAUGCUAGUUACCUGCGACAAGACAGAAAGACCCCAUGGAGCUUUACUGUAGCUUGAUAUUGGGUUUCGGUAAUUUAUGUACAGGAUAGGUGGGAGACUAUGAAGCAAGAGCGUCAGCUUUUGUGGAGUCACCGUUGGGAUACCACCCUUAAAUUAUCGGAAUUCUAACCUGUGAUCAUGAACUGGUCAGGGGACAAUGUCAGGCGGGCAGUUUGACUGGGGCGGUCGCCUCCUAAAGGGUAACGGAGGCGCCCAAAGGUUUCCUCAACCCGGACAGAAAUCGGGUGAAAGAGUGCAAAGGCAGAAGGAAGCUUAACUGAAAGACAGACAUGUCGAACAGAUACGAAAGUAGGGCUUAGUGAUCCGGUGGUAUGUGAGUGGAAAUGCCAUCGCUCAACGGACAAAAGUUACCCUGGGGAUAACAGGCUUAUCUCUCCCAAGAGUUCACAUCGACGGGGAGGUUUGGCACCUCGAUGUCGGCUCAUCGCAUCCUGGAGCGGAAGUACGUUCCAAGGGUUGGGCUGUUCGCCCAUUAAAGCGGUACGCGAGCUGGGUUCAGAACGUCGUGAGACAGUUCGGUCCUUAUCUGUCGCAGGCGCAGGAUAUUUGAAGGGAGUUGUCCUUAGUACGAGAGGACCAGGAUGAACAUACCGAUGGUGCAACAGUUGUCACACCAGUGGCAUAGCUGUGUAGCUAAGUAUGGAAGGGAUAAACGCUGAAAGCAUCUAAGUGUGAAGCCCACCCUAAGAUAAGAUAUCCCACAACGUUAAGUUGGUAAGAUACCAGGAAGACUAACUGGUUGAUAGGUUGGAGGUGUAAGUGCAGUAAUGCAUUAAGCUGACCAAUACUAAUAUAUCGAGGGCUUAACCU